UGUACUCUUUGUCUCCCGUACUAGAAUGUAAACUCUUUGAGGGCAGAUAUCCAUCUGUUCUGUUCACUAUAUGACAGUGACAUAGAGGAAGGAUUGAGCUCGAUGACCAGUUACUGAAUACAUGAAUAUCACAAGCUGUAAACCACACGGCUUAGACCACCCCCAUCUGAUCCAAGGCUCAGAGGAAUACAUGAAUUGCCCGAGCUCACACAGAACCAAGCCCUAGGAGUCUUAGAUUUCUAAUCACACCAUGGCAACAGUUUUACACUCUCUGAUUUCUUCAAAUCAUACAACAGCUAGGAAUUUGGGGGCUCUACGUUUUAUUUCAAUUUAAGAUUUCUUGUCUUUGAGGCUAAGAAUCCCAUAAUAAUUUUUGAAAACGAAACCCACCCAUUUGGAGUAAGAAUUGUUUGGGCUCAGAAAACAAUAACUCAAAAUGAGGGCUUCAGCAGCAACCUCAGAAACAAAAGUUUUUCUCUGGGCUUCUUGUGCUCAGGAUCCUACCUGUCAGUCCCAUCUCCUCAGAGGCUAGCCACAGAAACCAGAAUCCCUCUUCCCCAAGGCAGGUCAUAGAAACCAGAACGUCUUUCUUCUAAAGCCAGCCAUGAAACCUAAAAUUAUUCUGUAAGAACUUGCUAUAAAGAAAUGAUCUGACCUAGCUUGUUUGACUAUAGGUCAUAAGGUCCCCAUUCCAGAGAAGGUCCUGCCCCACCCGUAGAAGGAAGGAAUGCUGCUCAGAGAGGACAAGAAGGGUCUAGAGAGACAGGCCAUGCUGGGUUUUCCCCACUGGGUUUUGUCCAAUCAUAUUUCUACAAGGCUGUCUAUACUUUACUGAACCUAAGCAUAAAAAUGGACAAUUUCCCCUAUAUCUUUGGGUAUAAAUUCUGAAUGCUCCCGUAUAUACAUUUAAAAAAAAUUUUUAUCAUUUUUUUUUGUCUCCCCAGCUGUGUGAACCUGUAUACAUAUUAAAUAAAUUUACCGUAUGCCUUUUCUCCUAUUAGUCAAUCUGCCUGUGAUCUUUCAGCAAAACUUUAGGGGGCCAAGGGCUUUGGUCCUUACAGAGUCUUUAAUGUACACCUGAGUACAUGGGCAGCUCUUGAUUCAGAAAACUCUAGAAAGGUACUAUAGGCCUUUGAGGGUUAUGAUCUUUUAGUUGAUGAAGUUCUGUCUCUUGCUGUCUGUAGUUGAAUGGUACAGUAGCUAUCUUUUCUGAUAAAGGGCACAGUUAGAUUUGGGUCUAAUCAGGAAGCCAAAGGCCAACUUCCCAGUCCCCAAGUUUGCCAGACAGCGCUGGGUGGAACCUGUGUGAUUUCCAGAAUUCUCUCUCUCCCUUCCAAACCCCCAGGAGCCACCGUUCACAGUGGCACGGUCUCCUUCUAGUUUAAGCUGAUAAACGCUGAUCAAAGAAAGCAGGAAACAAUAGACAAGACGGUUAAAUCCACUUUCCAAAAUCUAAUCAGAGAAGUGCGGGCCCUGACCGGAGGGGGCGGGGGCAGCCGAUUGCGCAGCCGCAUCGCGGCAAGCGCCUGGGACGCGGUUCGCCUCCCGUCUUUGCCCCUGCACCUCCCACCAGGUUCUGGGAAGACGCCCCGAAACCCGAGCACGUGCGGCCGCGCGCGCCACCGUAGGUGCUGAGCGGGACGGCCGUUCCCACGCCGCCAGCCUCCCGUUCUCUCGGCGCCCCCGCAGGCGCCUCACUGCAAAGGGCUUUCCCGGCCCGGCUGGAGUGGGGAGGAGGAGCAGGUGCCGCGAGCCGCGGCUUCCUCGCCUGCGAGGGAAGACAGCCUGAAGUAGGUGAGACUUCAAUCUGGAUAGGGGUGGUGCAGAUGAAGAAAUUGAAGCCGGGAGAGACAAGUCUUAACAGUUCAGUUAUGGUGAAGAGACAUUUCUUGAGCAGGACAUCGGAACUAAAGAAGUGCCUCUAAAAGCUGAAUUCCAUAUUUUUUGGUUUCCAGAGAGUGCCACCUGCUGGUCCUAGUAGUUCCAGUGUUUCCUGGCUGUCACUAAUAGGCAACCUGAGGCUGGCUGGGUAUUGGUCUGAUAUUAGGUCCUGUCUGUCUGCUGCAAGAACUGUUUGCUAAGGCACGUGGUGCCCUGGAAACCCCAAGAGUCCUGGGGUCACCAAUUUGGCUGAGCUCAGCUGAGUGGUUCUUCUGGUCUUGACAGGGCUUGUUCACGCAUCUGUGGAAAAUCCCAGGACAGCACAGAAAAACUGCCCUCCAAACUGAGGUGGGACUCAGAAUCCAAAGAUAUGACUCAGACAAAUCUAGCUUGGUGAGUUAGGAUCGCUCAUAAUCUUGUCCAUAGUCUUCAUUUGGCCCCCCGGGCUCUCCUUCCCACCCUCCUCAAGGACUGGCAUUUUGAAAAGUGCCUCCUUCUACGUGCUCCUUCUCACCGGCAGUUAAACUCACCCGAACCUUUCCCACCUGGAAUGACAGCUUGUCCUUUAUAGCCCAGCUUCUUCAGGGCCCUUCAUACAACAGUUUGAAGAAAUGUCAACCAAAAUCUUUCAGUUAAUGAAAAAAAAUAUAUUUUGGCACAAAUUUUAAAAUAAUAAAAAUAAAGGUGAAUCUUUAAAAAUUUGCUCAUAAACACGAUAACAGUUUCAUGUUGGUGGGAGGGAUGAUGAUAUUGUUUGAAAUCAUUCACAUAUGCAACUUGAUAAAAAGCUUAAAUGACAGCUUAGUUUCCACACUUUGUUGUUUUAGUUCCUUAGACUUUACUUCUAUUGAUUUAGAGGGUACAAAUUCACAACGGUAAGUCAUCAGGCAUUGCAGCAAGCGCUGCGGAGCUGCCGGGUGGUGCUGGAUUUUACGGAAAUGGUGGACAGAGCUCACGGGUGACUGUGUUCAGUGCUCCAUGCGGUAGAUGCUAAACCUGCCAGCAGGCCACACAGAUGCUGUGAUGAUGGAGAAGGAUUCCUGCUCCAAUCUGGCUUCAGUCAGCCCUAGGAAGUCAUUCCUCAUGUUCUGCCUUAAGCGUUUGCAUAGGGUGUAAAAAUAUGCCCAACAACAUGCCAUUGGUUUUGUUCUCGAACAAAUGAAAAUCAUCAACCGUUGGGAAAGAGCCAAGUCCAUGGUCAGUGGUUUGCACAAUGGCUCCUUCUUCUUAAGAUGCCUGAUGUCCUUUUUUUUCAUAUUAAAAUAUGAGAAAUUUUGGCCCUGAAGGAAUAGGUGAGACAAUUCAUUUGAGAACCAUUAAGCAGACCCAAUUGAAACAAUAUAAACCAUCUUUACUCUAUAUUAUU
Molecule: non-coding RNA, 3247 nt
Organism: Microcebus murinus (gray mouse lemur)
Lineage: Eukaryota; Metazoa; Chordata; Mammalia; Primates; Cheirogaleidae
Source: RefSeq, a predicted model, not a curated record